This 518-nucleotide ribosomal RNA is filed under the name uncultured Glomus. Its description in RNAcentral is "SSU rRNA". It matches the Rfam family "Eukaryotic small subunit ribosomal RNA", at positions 569 to 1089 of the family's 1831-position model. The record is from RNAcentral. Lineage: Eukaryota; Fungi; Glomeromycota; Glomeromycetes; Glomerales; Glomeraceae.
AGCAGCCGCGGUAAUUCCAGCUCCAAUAGCGUAUAUUAAAGUUGUUGCAGUUAAAAAGCUCGUAGUUGAAUUUCGGGAUCAAUACGUCGGUCGUGCUUCGGUACGUACUGGCGUCAUUGGUUUCUCCCUUCUGACGAACCAUGAUGUCAUUAACUUGGUGUCAUGGGAAAUCAGGACUGUUACUUUGAAAAAAAUUAGAGUGUUUAAAGCAGGCUCACGCUUGAAUACAUUAGCAUGGAAUAAUGAAAUAGGACGUUCGAUCCUAUUUUGUUGGUUUCUAGGAUCAACGUAAUGAUUAAUAGGGAUAGUUGGGGGCAUUAGUAUUCAAUUGUCAGAGGUGAAAUUCUUGGAUUUAUUGAAGACUAACUACUGCGAAAGCAUUUGCCAAGGAUGUUUUCAUUAAUCAAGAACGAAAGUUAGGGGAUCGAAGACGAUCAGAUACCGUCGUAGUCUUAACCAUAAACUAUGCCGACUAGGGAUCGGAUGAUGUUAAUUUUUAAUGACUCAUUCGGCGUCCG